CCUACGGGUCGCACCAGUAGGGAAUCUUAGACAAUGGGGGCAACCCUGAUCUAGCCAUGCCGCGUGUGUGAUGAAGGCCCUAGGGUCGUAAAGCACUUUCGCCAGAGAUGAUAAUGACAGUAUCUGGUAAAGAAACCCCGGCUAACUCCGUGCCAGCAGCCGCGGUAAUACGGAGGGGGUUAGCGUUGUUCGGAAUUACUGGGCGUAAAGCGCACGUAGGCGGAUUAGUAAGUUAGAGGUGAAAUCCCAGGGCUCAACCCUGGAACUGCCUUUAAUACUGCUAGUCUUGAGUUCGAGAGAGGUAAGUGGAAUUCCGAGUGUAGAGGUGAAAUUCGUAGAUAUUCGGAGGAACACCAGUGGCGAAGGCGGCUUACUGGCUCGAUACUGACGCUGAGGUGCGAAAGUGUGGGGAGCAAACAGGAUUAGAUACCCCCGUAGUC
RNAcentral lists this ribosomal RNA (440 nucleotides) under uncultured bacterium. Its description in RNAcentral is "bacterial SSU rRNA". It matches the Rfam family "Bacterial small subunit ribosomal RNA", at positions 338 to 795 of the family's 1533-position model. The record is from RNAcentral.